Molecule: ribosomal RNA, 440 nt
Filed under: uncultured bacterium
Lineage: Bacteria
Description: partial 16S ribosomal RNA
Rfam family: Bacterial small subunit ribosomal RNA
Source: RNAcentral
CCUACGGGAGGCAGCAGUGGGGAAUAUUGCACAAUGGGGGAAACCCUGAUGCAGCGACGCCGCGUGAGUGAAGAUGUAAUUCGUUAUGUAAAGCUCUAUCAGCAGGGAAGAAAAUGACGGUACCUGAGUAAGAAGCCCCGGCUAACUACGUGCCAGCAGCCGCGGUAAUACGUAGGGGGCAAGCGUUAUCCGGAUUUACUGGGUGUAACGGGAGCGUAGACGGCAGUGCAAGUCUGGAGUGAAAGGCGGGGGCUCAACCCCCGGACUGCUCUGGAAACUGUACGGCUGGAGUGCAGGAGAGGUAAGUGGAAUUCCUAGUGUAGCGGUGAAAUGCGUAGAUAUUAGGAGGAACACCAGUGGCGAAGGCGGCUUACUGGACUGUAACUGACGUUGAGGCUCGAAAGCGUGGGGAGCAAACAGGAUUAGAUACCCCAGUAGUC